RNAcentral lists this ribosomal RNA (468 nucleotides) under uncultured bacterium. Its description in RNAcentral is "partial 16S ribosomal RNA". It matches the Rfam family "Bacterial small subunit ribosomal RNA", at positions 28 to 507 of the family's 1533-position model. The record is from RNAcentral.
GACGAACGCUGGCGGCGUGCUUAACACAUGCAAGUCGAACGGCAAGGCCCUGCUUGUGUGGGGUUCUCGAUUGGCGAACGGGUGAGUAACACGUGAGUAACGUGCUCUUCAUUUUGGGAUGACUUCAGGAAACUGGGGCUAAUACCGUAUAGGAUAUCCUGCUGCAUGGUGGGGGUUGGAAAUUUUAGGCUGUUGGAGAUGGAUUCGCGGGUUAUCGGCUUGUUGGUGGGGUAGUGGCUUACCCAGCCUGAGACGGGUAGCCGGCCUGAGAGGGUGACCGGCCACAUUGCGACUGAGAUACGGAGCAGUCUCCUACGGGAGACAGUGGUGGCGAAUAUUACCCAACGAGAGGGAGUCUGAGAAGGAAGCGCUGCGUGCGGGAUGACGGCCUUCGGGUAGAAAAAAGCAUUAGCCUAUGACGAAGCGGGAGUGACGGUAAUCGGUAAAGAAGCACCGGCUAACUACGUG